Molecule: ribosomal RNA, 114 nt
Filed under: Notamacropus eugenii (tammar wallaby)
Lineage: Eukaryota; Metazoa; Chordata; Mammalia; Diprotodontia; Macropodidae
Source: RNAcentral
GUUUUUGCCCAAAAUUGAAUGUGCCCAUCUUAUCUGAUCUCAGAAUAUAAGCAGAAUUGGACCUAAUUAAUACUUGGAUGGGAGACCACUUGGGAAUACUGGGUGCUGUAGACA